Molecule: unclassified non-coding RNA, 412 nt
Filed under: uncultured fungus
Lineage: Eukaryota; Fungi
Description: partial contains 5.8S ribosomal RNA and internal transcribed spacer 2
Rfam family: 5.8S ribosomal RNA (bases 1-133)
Source: RNAcentral
UGGCUCUCGCAUCGAUGAAGAACGCAGCGAAAUGCGAUAAGUAAUGUGAAUUGCAGAAUUCAGUGAAUCAUCGAAUCUUUGAACGCACCUUGCGCUCCUUGGUAUUCCGAGGAGCAUGCCUGUUUGAGUGUCAUGAAACCCUCAAACCCAAGUUUUGGAUUUCGAUCCAUGCUUGAGUUUGGAUUUGGAUGUUUGCCGGUGAUGAACCGACUCAUCUUAAAAGUAUUAGCUUGGAUCUGUCUAUAUGACUGGUUUGACUUGGCAUAAUAAGUAUUUUGCUGAGGACAUCUUUGGAUGGCCAGGACCUAGACUACUGUCUGCUAACUAAACCAUCACUUUAAGUGCAUCUUUGGAUGUUACUCAUUGUGUAACUUUGACAUCUGGCCUCAAAUCAAGUAGGACUACCCGCUGA